CCACAGGAUCAGGAUCAGAGUUGAAGGAUGCCUCAGCUGACCUUCCAAUUCCGAAGUCGGUGACUUUUGUUCCCAAGAAAAAGGCAGGUGAACUUAAAGCAGGUAAUUACAGCUGCAAGGUUAAGCAAGAUGAGGAAGAGGAUGGUAAUCAAUCCUUGCGGAAUACAAUCUUACCUGUUGGCAUUGCAGCUGGGGAAUCACAAGAGUCUGAAGCUGGUGUAGUGGAGGAAGAUGAAAGAGAAAGAAAUGACAUAAUCAAAAGUGAUGGUUCCCAAAAGGCUAGUCGCAAGUAUCGAACAAGGUCAGGCACAGAUGAAUCUGAUCCUUGACUCCCUGUG
RNAcentral lists this unclassified non-coding RNA (338 nucleotides) under Hevea brasiliensis (rubber tree). The record is from RNAcentral. Lineage: Eukaryota; Viridiplantae; Streptophyta; Magnoliopsida; Malpighiales; Euphorbiaceae.